This 370-nucleotide ribosomal RNA is filed under the name uncultured organism. Its description in RNAcentral is "bacterial SSU rRNA". It matches the Rfam family "Bacterial small subunit ribosomal RNA", at positions 526 to 896 of the family's 1533-position model. The record is from RNAcentral.
CAGAGGGUGCGAGCGUUAAUCGGAAUAACUGGGCGUAAAGGGCGCGUAGGCGGUUUGUAAAGAGUGAUGUGAAAGCCCCGGGCUUAACCUGGGAAGCGCGUCGCAGACUAAUAGACUAGAGUAUAUGAGAGGGUGGUGGAAUUUCCGGUGUAGCGGUGAAAUGCGUAGAUAUCGGAAGGAACGUCAAUGGCGAAGGCAUCCACCUGGCAUACUACUGACGCUGAGGCGCGAAAGCGUGGGGAGAGAACAGGAUUAGAUACCCUGGUAGUCCACGCUGUAAACGAUGAGGACUAAAUGUUGAUUGGGGAACCGAGCAGUAUUGAAGCUAACGCGAUAAGUCUUCCGCCUGGGAAGUACGGCCGCAAGGUUG